This 21-nucleotide non-coding RNA is filed under the name Caenorhabditis elegans. Lineage: Eukaryota; Metazoa; Nematoda; Chromadorea; Rhabditida; Rhabditidae. The record is from RNAcentral.
UUUGAAAACUCCUCGACUAUC